This 398-nucleotide ribosomal RNA is filed under the name uncultured Thiobacillus sp. RNAcentral describes it as "bacterial SSU rRNA". It matches the Rfam family "Bacterial small subunit ribosomal RNA", at positions 981 to 1382 of the family's 1533-position model. Lineage: Bacteria; Pseudomonadati; Pseudomonadota; Betaproteobacteria; Nitrosomonadales; Thiobacillaceae. The record is from RNAcentral.
UUGACAUGUCCGGAACUUGCCAGAGGUGGCUUGGUGCCCGAAAGGGAAUCGGAACACAGGUGCUGCAUGGCUGUCGUCAGCUCGUGUCGUGAGAUGUUUGGGAUAAGUCCCGCAACGAGCGCAACCCUUAUCAUUAGUUGCUACGCAAGGGCACUCUAAUGAGACUGCCGGUGACAAACCGGAGGAAGGUGGGGAUGACGUCAAGUCCUCAUGGCCCUUAUGGGUAGGGCUUCACACGUCAUACAAUGGUCGGUACAGAGGGUUGCCAAGCCGCGAGGCGGAGCCAAUCCCACAAAGCCGAUCGUAGUCCGGAUUGUUCUCUGCAACUCGAGAGCAUGAAGUCGGAAUCGCUAGUAAUCGCAGGUCAGCAUACUGCGGUGAAUACGUUCCCGGGUCUU